RNAcentral lists this ribosomal RNA (21 nucleotides) under Fusobacterium necrophorum subsp. necrophorum. Its description in RNAcentral is "partial 23S ribosomal RNA". Lineage: Bacteria; Fusobacteriati; Fusobacteriota; Fusobacteriia; Fusobacteriales; Fusobacteriaceae. The record is from RNAcentral.
GAUUAAAGUAACAAAGGGCAC